UACAGAGGUCCCGAGCGUUGUUCGGAUUCACUGGGCGUAAAGGGUGCGUAGGUGGUGAGGUAAGUCGGAUGUGAAAUCUCCAGGCUCAACCUGGAAACUGCAUUGGAAACUACCUUGCUAGAGGUUUUGAGGGGGGACUGGAAUUCUCGGUGUAGCAGUGAAAUGCGUAGAUAUCGAGAGGAACACCAGUGGCGAAGGCGAGUCCCUGGAAAACACCUGACACUGAGGCACGAAAGCUAGGGGAGCAAACAGG
RNAcentral lists this ribosomal RNA (253 nucleotides) under uncultured bacterium. RNAcentral's name for it is "partial 16S ribosomal RNA". It matches the Rfam family "Bacterial small subunit ribosomal RNA", at positions 524 to 776 of the family's 1533-position model. The record is from RNAcentral.